GGAAUUGACGGGGAGCACCACAACGGUGGAGCUUGCGGUUUAAUUGGAUUCAACGCCGGAAUCUUACCGGGACCGACAGCAAUAUGAAGGCCAGGCUGAAGACUUUGCCGGAUUAGCUGAGAGGUGGUGCAUGGCCGUCGUCAGUUCGUACUGUGAAGCAUCCUGUUAAGUCAGGCAACGAGCGAGACCCACGCCAACAGUUGCCAGCUCGUCCUACGGGAUGGUGGGGACACUGUUGGGACCGCCUCUGCUAAAGAGGAGGAAGGAAUGGGCAACGGUAGGUCAGCAUGCCCCGAAUUAUCUGGGCUACACGCGGGCUACAAUGGGUGGGACAAUGGGUAUCGACACCGAAAGGUGAAGGCAAUCUCCUAAACCCAUCCGUAGUUCGGAUUGUGGGCUGCAACUCGCCCACAUGAAGCUGGAAUCUGUAGUAAUCGUGUCUCAAAAUGGCACGGUGAAUAUGUCCCUGCUCCUU
This 475-nucleotide ribosomal RNA is filed under the name uncultured Methanomicrobiales archaeon. RNAcentral describes it as "bacterial SSU rRNA". It matches the Rfam family "Archaeal small subunit ribosomal RNA", at positions 861 to 1338 of the family's 1478-position model. Lineage: Archaea; Methanobacteriati; Methanobacteriota; Methanomicrobia; Methanomicrobiales. The record is from RNAcentral.